GAUACAUGAGGAUCAGAGCACUGAGAACUAUGAGAUGCCACUUCACAGCUUCCGCAAGGCAUCAGCGGAUACAUAGACUGUGAGAAGAGGCAACAUGUGUGAUCCCUCACUCCGACAACCUAAGCCCUAGAUGAGUUGUUCCAACUAUUUGUUUCUUAUAAACCAGGUUACUUGCACUGAUAAAUGGAGAUUGCGCAAGUCAUCUAUCAAGAUUCUAAUCUGCCUACAUUUUUUGGUCUUCUUUUGUAAAGACUGAGCCAAUAUGCCAUCUUCAAGUCAGGAUCAUUCUUGAGAGUAAUUAUGGGAAGUUGCAAAAAGUCGGCUGGGAAGAGUAGCCGAAGUGAUAAAAGGUGGGACUUACUGCAGCGGAAAAAAUAUGUUUAUCUCUAUUUUUGGAUAAGAGUGAGCAUGGUUAGUAUUUCAGAUAUACAUUCACUAAAGUAGAUGGAAUUUCCAGAUCAAACAUGGGUGAAGGAUCCUAAUGUCAUUGCUCUUGUGGAUUUCAUUAACUCAAUUUUACCAACAUCAAAAUUAUUCUCUUUAUA
Lolium rigidum is the source of this 545-nucleotide long non-coding RNA. RefSeq lists it as uncharacterized. The transcript has 3 exons. The record is from RefSeq and is a predicted model, not a curated record. Lineage: Eukaryota; Viridiplantae; Streptophyta; Magnoliopsida; Poales; Poaceae.